GCAAGCUACUAAGUGCGAUCGGUGGAUGCCUUGGCACCAAGAGCCGAUGAAGGACGUUGUAACCUGCGAUAAGCCUAGGGGAGUUGGUAAACGAGCUGUGAUCCUGGGAUGUCCGAAUGGGGUAACCUUGAAUGUCCGGAGUUAUGUCCGGUGACUUCUGCCUGAAUGUAUAGGGUAGUUGGAGGGAACGCGGGGAAGUGAAACAUCUUAGUACCCGUAGGAAGAGAAAACAAUAGUGAUUCCGUGAGUAGUGGCGAGCGAAAGUGGAUGAGGCUAAACCUAUACCGUGUGAUAGCUGACAGGUGUUGCGGUGUGGGGGUUGUGGGAUGUUGUGUGGCCUGGCUGUUGACGGGUCGUGGAGUGAUAAAUGGUGGGUGAAGUUGAACAGGUUGGAAAGCCUGAGCGUAGUGGGUGAUACUCCCGUAGGCGUAUGUCUGCCACUUCAUUGCAAUAUUUUCCCAAGUAGCACGGGACUCGUGGAAUUUCGUGUGAAUCUGGCAGGACCAUCUGCUAAGCCUAAAUACUCCUUGGUGACCGAUAGUGUAUCAGUACCGUGAGGGAAUGGUGAAAAGUACCCCGGGAGGGGAGUGAAAUAGUACCUGAAACCGGGCGCUUACAAGCCGUCAGAGCCUCCUUAUGCUUUUUGUGUGUGGGGGUGGUGGCGUGCCUUUUGAAGAAUGAGCCUGCGAGUCAGUGGCGUGUCGCGAGGUUAACCCGUGUGGGGUAGCCGUAGCGAGAGCGAGUCCGAAUAGGGCGAGUGUAGUGGCGCGUUCUGGACCCGAAGCGGGGUGAUCUACCCAUGGCCAGGUUGAAGCACGUGUAAGAGCGUGUGGAGGACCGAACCCACCUAGGUUGAAAACUGGGGGGAUGAGCUGUGGGUAGGGGUGAAAGGCCAAUCAAACUCCGUGAUAGCUGGUUCUCCCCGAAAUGCAUUUAGGUGCAGCGUUGCGUGUUUCUUGCCGGAGGUAGAGCACUGGAUGGUCUAGGGGGCCUACAAGCUUACCGAAAUCAGCCAAACUCCGAAUGCCGGUAAGUGAGAGCGUGGCAGUGAGACUGUGGGGGAUAAGCUUCAUAGUCGAGAGGGAAACAGCCCAGAUCAUCAGCUAAGGCCCCUAAGUGGUGACUAAGUGGAAAAGGAUGUGGAGUUGCGUUGACAACCAGGAGGUUGGCUUGGAAGCAGCCAUCCUUGAAAGAGUGCGUAAUAGCUCACUGGUCAAGUGAUUCUGCGCCGACAAUGUAGCGGGGCUUAAGUUAUCCGCCGAAGCUGUGGCGCCUGCACUGUUGUGUGGGUGGGUAGGGGAGCGUCGUGUGUGUGGUGAAGUUGCGGGGUGACCUGUGGUGGAGUGCAUGCGAGUGAGAAUGCAGGCAUGAGUAGCGAAUGACGGGUGGGAAACCCGUCCGCCGAAUAUCUAAGGGUUCCAGGGUCAAGUUAAUCUGCCCUGGGUUAGUCGGGGCCUAAGGCGAGGCCGACAGGCGUAGUCGAUGGAUAACGGGUUGAUAUUCCCGUACCGGCGGAGCAACGUCCGUGCCGGGGCGCAUGAUGCUAAGCAUGCGAGGCUGUGGUUUGUCUUUCGGGGCAGGUCAUGGUUGAGUCUGUGAUCCGAUUGUGUAGUAGGCAAGCUGCGGAGGGACGCAGGAAGGUAGCUCAUCCUUGGUUUUGGUUGAUCUGAGGCUAAGUGUGUAGGGCGGGGUGUAGGUAAAUCCGCAUCCUGGGUGCCUGAGACAUGAUGGGCCUAGCCCCUUUGAGGGGUUGGGUUGAGUGAUCCUAUGCUGCCUAGAAAAGCUUCGUUAGCGAGUUGUGAGCCGCCCGUACCCUAAACCGACACAGGUGGAUAAGUAGAGAAUACUAAGGCGAUCGAGUGAAUCGUGGUGAAGGAACUCGGCAAAAUACCCCCGUAACUUCGGGAUAAGGGGGACCUGAAGCGUAUUAGACUAUUUGCGUUGAAAGCGUUGAGGGUCGCAGAGACCAGGCCCAAGCGACUGUUUACUAAAAACACAGGUCCGUGCCAACUUGUAAGAGGAUGUAUACGGACUGACUCCUGCCCGGUGCUGGAAGGUUAAGGGGAACUGUCAGCCACUGUGUGUGGUGAAGCGGUGAACUUAAGCCCCAGUAAACGGCGGUGGUAACUAUAACCAUCCUAAGGUAGCGAAAUUCCUUGUCGGGUAAGUUCCGACCUGCACGAAUGGAGUAACGAUUUGGGCGCUGUCUCCACCACGAACUCGGUGAAAUUGCAUUACGAGUAAAGAUGCUCGUUACGCGCAGCAGGACGGAAAGACCCCGGGACCUUUACUAUAGUUUGGUAUUGGUGAUCGGUGUGACUUGUGUAGGAUAGGUGGGAGACUGUGAAGCUGGGACGCUAGUUCUGGUGGAGUCGUCGUUGAAAUACCACUCUGGUUACUCUGGUUAUCUAACCUAGGGCCAUGAUCUGGUUCAGGGACAGUGCCUGAUGGGUAGUUUGACUGGGGCGGUCGCCUCCUAAAAGGUAACGGAGGCGCCCAAAGGUUCCCUCAGCCUGGUUGGCAAUCAGGUGUUGAGUGUAAGUGCACAAGGGAGCUUGACUGUGAGACUGACGGGUCGAGCAGGGACGAAAGUCGGGACUAGUGAUCUUCUGGUAGCGGAUGGAAGCGCCAGGACUCAACGGAUAAAAGGUACCCCGGGGAUAACAGGCUGAUCUUGCCCGAGCGUCCAUAGCGACGGCAUGGUUUGGCACCUCGAUGUCGGCUCGUCGCAUCCUGGGGCUGGAGUCGGUCCCAAGGGUUGGGCUGUUCGCCCAUUAAAGCGGCACGCGAGCUGGGUUUAGAACGUCGUGAGACAGUUCGGUCCCUAUCCGCUGCGCGCGUAGGAGUCUUGAGAAGGGCUGUCCUUAGUACGAGAGGACCGGGACGGACGAACCUCUGGUGUGCCAGUUGUUCCGCCAGGAGCACGGCUGGUUGGCUACGUUGGGAAGUGAUAACCGCUGAAAGCAUCUAAGCGGGAAGCACGCUUCAAGAUGAGGGCUCCCACAGAAACAAUCUGGUAAGGCCCCCCACAGACCAUGGGGUCGAUAGGUCGGACGUGGAAGCGUAGUAAUACGUGAAGCUGACCGAUACUAAUAGGCCGAGGGCUUACCACA
RNAcentral lists this ribosomal RNA (3113 nucleotides) under human metagenome. Its description in RNAcentral is "bacterial LSU rRNA". It matches the Rfam family "Bacterial large subunit ribosomal RNA". The record is from RNAcentral.